RNAcentral lists this unclassified non-coding RNA (200 nucleotides) under Clavulinopsis sp. Its description in RNAcentral is "partial internal transcribed spacer 2". The record is from RNAcentral. Lineage: Eukaryota; Fungi; Basidiomycota; Agaricomycetes; Agaricales; Clavariaceae.
UUAAGUUCAGCGGGUAGUCCUACCUGAUUUGAGGUCAAGCUUAAAUAGUGUAUGCCUCACAAGGAGACAGUCCGAAGACCGUUAGAAGCUGAACAGAAAGGAUUCACAGCAGCGGCAUAGAUACGAUUAUCAAACCAAAGCCGGUCCCUCAUAGUUCCGCUAAUGCAUUUGAGAGGAGCUGGCAAUGACACCAGCAGGCC